Dromaius novaehollandiae (emu) is the source of this 636-nucleotide long non-coding RNA. RefSeq lists it as uncharacterized. The transcript has 4 exons. Lineage: Eukaryota; Metazoa; Chordata; Aves; Casuariiformes; Dromaiidae. The record is from RefSeq and is a predicted model, not a curated record.
GGAACCAAUUUGCAGUCUUGCCUGGCAGCUCCUUUCUUAUAUCCAUGCCUGUGAACCUAGUGCCACCUGCCCUUUUGUGGCUCUGCUUCUGAUCCCUACCCUGGCUUCUGGGGCUGCCUACUUUGCUUCUUCAGGUACUAUGUUGGCCUUUUGCAGGCAUGGCUGAGGAUUUCAGGUGAGGUAGAAUGGGUGAUCAGAAUGGUGUUUCAGUUGUUGUAGGGCUGGUCAGCGCUACCUGGCAGCAUAGUAACUUUGUCUUGGUUUUCCAGGUGCCAUGGGUGUCCCCACAGCAAUGAUGUUGGAGUCUGGAGUUGGUGCGGCACAGGCAAUGAAGGCGAAUGUGGUGACCGAAGGAAGAUCAGAGAGGAUGUGGCUGCCAUUGAGGAUGCCUCUUGAGGACCAAUGGUGUGACACACAGCACUGCAAAAGCUAAGAUGCGGAUUAGUGUUUGGAUCUCUUGAGGGAGAUGGAGGAAGGAAGGGGAAUGCCGUAAGAAGGUGUGGAGCCUUGUGGAGAGCAAGUUGCUUGCGUCCGGGAGGAGCAGGGCAAGGUGAGUGUUGGUCUGAGAGAGGACGCAGAGCCCAGUGUAGGGCUGUUGUCUCGUUGGCGCUGUUCUGGUUUUACGGGUGCCUGGUG